RNAcentral lists this ribosomal RNA (253 nucleotides) under uncultured bacterium. RNAcentral describes it as "partial 16S ribosomal RNA". It matches the Rfam family "Bacterial small subunit ribosomal RNA", at positions 524 to 776 of the family's 1533-position model. The record is from RNAcentral.
UACAGAGGGUGCAAGCGUUGUUCGGAAUUACUGGGCGUAAAGGGCUCGUAGGCGGCCAACUAAGUCGGACGUGAAAUCCCUCGGCUUAACCGGGGAACUGCGUCCGAUACUGGAUGGCUUGAGUUCGGGAGAGGGAUGCGGAAUUCCAGGUGUAGCGGUGAAAUGCGUAGAUAUCUGGAGGAACACCGGUGGCGAAGGCGGCAUCCUGGACCGACACUGACGCUGAGGAGCGAAAGCCAGGGGAGCAAACGGG